This is a long non-coding RNA of Gadus macrocephalus (Pacific cod), 1204 nucleotides long. RefSeq lists it as uncharacterized. The transcript has 6 exons. The record is from RefSeq and is a predicted model, not a curated record. Lineage: Eukaryota; Metazoa; Chordata; Actinopteri; Gadiformes; Gadidae.
GCCCGUUUCAGAAAGCAGGUUCAACAAACUCUGAGUUAAAACCUUAACUCUAGGUUGACCAACUCUGAGCUGUCAAACUCUUAAGUUUUCGGUUUCAGAACAGGUGAUAACACUUAGUUCAAUCAACUCAGAGUCAAGUUAACCCUGAGUGAAGCUCGUGCAUGAGGAUAUAAAAAGCCCUCAUCAAUGGAGCACAGAUAACAUGAUUCACCAUGGCAAUAAGUGGUAAACAGCCUCGAUCCUCCUACUUCUCCCCAGUGGAGUUGGAAAUAUUAAUGACUGCGUAUGCAGAAAGUGAGCAUAUAUUUUUAAAAAGAAGCAAUACUGUGGCAGCAGCAAAAGAGCGGGAGCUUGCGUGGCAGAAAAUUGCUGACCGAGUCAAUGCGUGCAACCCAACAGGCACCAAACGGACUUGGCAGCAGCUAAAGAUGAAAUAUAAAAAUGUACUUCAAACAGCCAACAGAAAAAAGGCUGAGGCCCGCAAAACAGGUGGCGGUCCACCACCACCACCUCUUACAGAGGCUGAGAAGAUGGCCCUCAGUCAGAACAGUGGGCGACCCAUUGCUGAGGGCAUCUCUGGGGGGAGCUCAUCGGACCCACCCACGCCCCAGGACACAGGGGCCUACAUAAAAGGUGGGGCACUUUUCUGGGUAAUCAUCAACUGUCUAAUCUUCAUCUUCUAUCACUUACUGAUGAUGGUGUAAUCUGUCUCGUGGAGCCUUCUGCCAUAACAGACCUCCAUGCUGUAAGAGGAUGGUGAAGACACCUUAUCAGCUGCCACAGAGGGGGAAGAUGCAGAGGCCUGUUGAAAGCCAUGCUGGAAAUUACAAUGAGGAAGAAGGUCCAUCAACCUCCACAGAACAGCUUACCUCAGUAAGAUGUUGUUCAGCAUUGACCCACAACUUACAAUGACGCUAAGUAGACAUGGCAUUGGGAAAUUUAACGUCAUUUAUGUUUGUAUAGCUCCCUGUGAAACAACUGUAUAAGGUAUAUUUGCAAGCACAAAUCAAAAAUUCUCAUCUGGAAAUGGACCAUAUAAGGCUGCAGAUCACCAAAACAAAAAUGGAAAUACAAAUGCUGGACCAUCAGUUAAAGGUGGGUGACGUGCCCACAGGUGGAUGAUUUUUAAUUGUUUCAACAACAAAGGAUUAACAACUGUACAAAAUUUGUCCUUCUAGGAAAUAAAGAAGACGUCAUAAAAUGA